UACGUAGGGGGCUAGCGUUGUCCGGAUUUAUUGGGCGUAAAGAGCGUGUAGGCGGCCAGGUAGGUCCGUUGUGAAAACUCGAGGCUCAACCUCGAGACGUCGGCGGAAACCCUCUGGCUAGAGUCCGGAAGAGGAGAGUGGAAUUCCUGGUGUAGCGGUGAAAUGCGCAGAUAUCAGGAAGAACACCCGUGGCGAAGGCGGCUCUCUGGGCCUUACCUGACGCUGAGGAGCGAAAGCGUGGGGAGCGAACAGG
This 253-nucleotide ribosomal RNA is filed under the name uncultured bacterium. RNAcentral's name for it is "partial 16S ribosomal RNA". It matches the Rfam family "Bacterial small subunit ribosomal RNA", at positions 524 to 776 of the family's 1533-position model. The record is from RNAcentral.